RNAcentral lists this long non-coding RNA (454 nucleotides) under Danio rerio (zebrafish). RNAcentral's name for it is "lncRNA (ENSDARG00000117580.1)". The record is from RNAcentral. Lineage: Eukaryota; Metazoa; Chordata; Actinopteri; Cypriniformes; Danionidae.
UAAUAACACCUCCAUCACUGUGUUCUUUCAGAGCGCCUGCAUGCGUUUUCGUGAUGAUGUUGAGAAAUGAAAGGGGAAGAAACCCUCGCUCUGAGCUUCCCUGAGGUCUGCUGUGUUUCUGCUCAUGUUCAGAGGGAAAAAAGCGGCCUGCUUCCACAAGGGAGGAGAGCAGGGAUCCUAGUGUUCUGGGAGUGGAUUGGCUGGCAUUCAUGCUGGAACAUCAGCAGUGUGUCACGCUUUAACACCGGCCUGUCACAAACUCUCCGGAUGCACGGAGCCAAGUAGUGCAAGUUCUGGGACAGUUUCCCUGCCAAAACUGCGGUGUGUUGCAGGUGAGAGUCACAGAAUGAGCACAGCCGUCCACCCACACCACAUAAACAAAGAGAAUCACGACACGCUCGCUUCUGCUUGUCGUCUUCCAGUCUCUUGAGGACACCUGUAGUGCAGACUUGGC